AACGAACGCUGGCGGCAUGCCUAACACAUGCAAGUCGAACGAGACCUUCGGGUCUAGUGGCGCACGGGUGCGUAACGCGUGGGAAUCUGCCCUUCGGUUGGGAAUAACUGAGAGAAAUUUCAGCUAAUACCUUAUAAUGUCCUCGGACCAAAGAUUUAUCGCCGAGGGAUGAGCCCGCGUAGGAUUAGGUAGUUGGUGGGUUAAUGGCCUACCAAGCCGACGAUCCUUAGCUGGUCUGAGAGGAUGAUCAGCCACACUGGGACUGAGACACGGGCCAAGACUCCUACGGGGGGCAGCAGGGGGGAAUAUUGGACAAUGGGCGAAAGCCUGAUCCAGCAAUGCCGCGUGAGUGAUGAAGGCCUUAGGGUUGUAAAGCUCUUUUACCCGGGAUGAUAAUGACAGUACCGGGAGAAUAAGCUCCGGCUAACUCCGUGCCAGCAGCCGCCGUAA
RNAcentral lists this ribosomal RNA (450 nucleotides) under uncultured bacterium. Its description in RNAcentral is "partial 16S ribosomal RNA". It matches the Rfam family "Bacterial small subunit ribosomal RNA", at positions 29 to 523 of the family's 1533-position model. The record is from RNAcentral.